Long non-coding RNA from Myiozetetes cayanensis, 4781 nucleotides. RefSeq lists it as uncharacterized. The record is from RefSeq and is a predicted model, not a curated record. The transcript has 4 exons. Lineage: Eukaryota; Metazoa; Chordata; Aves; Passeriformes; Tyrannidae.
GAGGAGGCCGGGCCGAGCGAUCUUAAGCUGAUACAAGGUAGAAGUGAAGAGAAAUGUAGAAGGAUCAACAUUUGCAGAGUGCAUGUUACAGCUGGGGCUUCUGACACUGCUUUUUCCCAGUAAGUACGUAUAUAACUACACAUGCACACCAUAUACAUCUAUAACAUCAGCCAGCUCUCUGUGCUGCUAACUGCUAUGGGAGAGGUGCAUUGGCUUCCUCCAAGAAGCACUUGUUCGUCCUCAUCCCAGCCCACAGGUGAUGGAUACACACACUUUUCUCCUAUCUUGCAUUCAGAAGUUACCUUUAGGCUCUCUUUCACAAAUUUCUAAUGUACCCAUCAUAGGGUCAGAGCCUGAAGGUGAAAUCAGAGUCCAGGUGAAUGUUAUUCCCCUCCUCCCCUCCUUUAUUUUUUUUUUCUGCUUGCAACACUCCUUUUCAAAUUUAGAAAUUAUAGUUAUUUUCCUGCCAAUGUUUUCUGCUUCCAUGUGGCAAACAUUUCUCUUUCCAGUGGAGCAGAAGCCAGCAUGGCUGCCUUGAGCGUGCACGGGUUUUGUGUAUCCUGUCAACACUUUACGAGACAAAGUGAACAGUCCCAGGAUCUGUUCUGCCUCCCUCUAACCCCCUCGUGCAUCAGCCCUCGGUUUUAGUGAAUCAUGCAGGAACCUGAGGCAAAGUACUGGCUGCUUUUUUCUUGUAAAUACGAUUUUGAGGACACUGCUUGUUUUAUCAGAACUAUGAACCAUUUUCCAACUUUUCUCUGUAGCUUUUCAAGCCUUGCUAUACUAGAAAAUGUUAUGUAACACCCAAAGCACAGACUUCCACAUGACUGAGUGACCACUCUUAGUUGCUCAAGUUUCAUGUAUAUGGAUCAUUUGUCCUAAUUGCUCAUUGUGUGAACUUUUUAUAAGGACUCUGGCCCAUACAAAAUACAGACGAUUGUUGUUGCAGGGUAUGAGACAGUGUGAUGAGCUGGUGUAGCUUGGUGUCUUUUACAGCUGGAGGAGGUGAGUGGGUUGUAGAACUGUACUGGAGGUGUCAGUGAAUACCAUUAUCCUUUUCGUUAGGCACCCAGCACACACGCCCUUAGAGACAGGAUUCCUGGCUUGGUGGCCAUUACCCAUCCUGAACUACAAUGGUUGUUCUCAAGAAAAACAUCAAGCAUUAGGGAAAAGAGUUUCAAGACAGGCAGGUUUUUCUUGUUAGUGCAUCUUAAAAUAUUUCUGUCACUUGUUACACUCAUAUUCUUUCAUAUAGCUACAUUUAUAAAAUGAACAAAUAGAGUAGUUGUAUGUGCUUGUUAAUAUAUAGGGCUAUGCACUGCUUCUGGAAAAGUCCAUUGUUGUGAAUGGAUAUUAUCUUGAAACACGUGUGUGUCCCUUUGCCACGGAGAAGUCCCUUUGCCGUGAGAACUUGGCUAAUGAAUUGGAGAUUAAUUCAUGUUUUCCGUCAUAUAUCUGCUUGUGUCUAUUAAAGGGCUUAAUUGGAAUCAGUGAGUCUAAGUCCUAAGGAAGUAUGUUAGAUUUUCUCUUCUGUUCACUUUGAUUUCAUAUUUUGCAGAACAAGUAUAAUACUGCCCAUGUAAUGUUCCUUUGUCACGUAGUAUGAGCACUGCAGCCUCUGCUGAAUAGUUUUUAGCUGUUUAUAAGGUUAUAGAAAACCACUCCCCUCUCUGUUUCACAUGAAUACCUUUUAAAAACUAGACCUUAAAUACGGUUUGGGUUUUUCAAGCAUUGCAUCAGGUGGUCAUAGGUGGAUUUUUGCAUGCUAAGUUAGAACAGAUGUAAAAUGAAACAAGAUUUCAGCUCCUAGCACAGGCUAAGUGCCAGCUUCCAAAACCUGUAUUUCAGGGUAUGUUUUAAGUUCUGCUUCAGUUUUUAUGAUAUCAUUGUGUACUGUGUUGUCAACAGAUUUGCUUCUGCUAUACCUCUGCCCUUGUGAUACAUGCACUGAUGACUGCUUAACUCUUGCCAGAGUGUGUCUCCCAUAUUGUGAAUAAAUUGCAGCUUGAAGUUGCCACAGAAUCACUGUUUUAUUUAAUAUGAUGUUGUUAUGGUUCUGCCAUGAUGGACUUGUGAUUCUUUUACUUUCAGCAAGUACAUGAAAAAAUUACGGUGUCUUGUCCUCUAUCUGCCACCUAUAAAUCAAAGAACAUGAUUUGACAUAUAGCUAGUCCGACAGUUGCCAAAGACAUAUGCCAGUUGGGACAAGACCAAAAUGAUGUUGAAAAAUAGCUGACAAACCCAUGAUCACUCAGGGCAGAAUGUGCCUCUACAACUUCAUUCAAAUAAAUCAAAUAAUGCCUCCCAAAGUGACUCUGUGCUUCAUGCCUUCCCUCUUCUUUUGGGACUAGUUUUUUCUGUCACUGGAUUAGACGCUGUAACAGAGCUGUAGAACUGGGAAUUGCAGAGAUUUGUUCUGUGGCCAAGUGGAGUCUUGGGUCUGUGGCACUGAAGCUUUCCAUCAGCCAUAUGCUGGCAGGGCAGGAACAGAGGUGAGUUUGGAGACUGGCAGCCAGUGGGUGUAGCAGGAAGACAAAGGCUGGGACUGGUGGCGAUGAUCUAAGAGCUUUUGUUUUCACAGCACCUUUCAGGGAAAGGAUGGGGCAAUAUUUAGAAUGAAAGGAAGGGUAAAGACCAGACAGCACGGACAUCUUUUCUAGACCUCUCAGCAAAUGGUGUGGGACAUGCACCUUGGCAGCUAGCUGGAGUCAAGAAGCUCAGAUCUAAGUCCACCAAGAGGCGAGGGACAGGAAUGGAUGCAAGCCAUCCUUGCACUCUGACUGAAGCCAGGUGAUCAUUUCUGCAGUCUUUACUCAAGCCAGGCUCUCCUUGGACCAGCGAGACUGGUCCCUGUACAGACUACAGAUUUUGGGCUCUAUGGUGGCAGAUUUCUGCAAAAACCUGGUGCUGCAAGGCCAUUGCUUGGGGCUUCACCAGUAGAGAGUGAGCACAGGAGGAAGGGAUGUUUCCGAAUGAGAAAUAGCUGCUUUUUUUUUAAACGAGUGAUUUGUUGGCUUCAGGCAAAUGGCAGAAGGUUUUGCUGAAAAGGCUUCUUUAUGGGAUUGUGGUUUUGCUUGGGGUAGCUGAGAGAAGUCUGUAAACCCCAGGAGCUCAAGGAGUUUGACAGGUUUGACAGGCCUUCCUGCUACUUAUGAACAGGAGGCUGGAGCAAGUGUUCCUGAGAUCACCUCCCUGUUUUCCAUCAAAGCAUGCUGUCAAGUCAGAGGAAGAGAGAAGCUGUUUUCUUCCCCAUUUUAUUUUCUUAUAUAAAGACAAUCUUAGAAAUCUUUAUUUCUGGAUCUUUUAAACAUUGUAUAUCCGGGCUCCCCUCAAUACAAAAUUCCUGUCAACUUUUUAGGCUUUGGAUUGGACCUUUCCACAGAGCUUUGAGCACAUUAAAAUUAUUACAGCAAUAAUCAUUAGCGACAAUAGGAGAGUCACACCAAAGACUGGUGUACAUCACCUCUGGAAACCAUGCCAGCUCUAGAGAGCCACACUCUCACCUGGACCACAGUACCCACUGUCAUCCUUUCUUGUGUCCACUUACCCUACCGUGCUUCAUGUGCUGCCCUGUCCAAAAGUGAGAAAAUGAUGAAAAUUAUAAAAAUGAUGAAUGAAAAUAAUUAAGGUAAUGAAAAUGAAAACAACUGUAGAGCUGUAUCUGUCUCGUGUAAUAAUAGUGCUGCAGCUUCUGGUGCUGACAGGAAGAAGAGCCCUCUUGACUCUCCCUGGGUCAACCUAUGCCUACACACUACCCCUGACUCAGUAAAGGGAGUGAGUGCUUCUAAUUAACAUCACAUACACCCCGAAUUUGCAAAGCAAUGGGCUUGGAUUUCUGCUGCAACAGGAGUGGCUGCUGCUGCAAUACUUAAACCAUCACCGAUCAGAGAGCUGUUGCAGUGCUUGAGCUGGGGGUCACCACCCUCCAAAGGGAAAGCCUGGAAAGAAUCAGUUAUUCAUGAAAAGUGUACACAUAAGGAGGAAUUUCCUAUUUCUUUGAAUAUUGGUAAUUUAAUUUAAAAGGAAAUCCAGUGACAACUUCCCAGGAAAUAAAUGUUGUAUUGUAAAUCUCUGUGGUGUAAAGGUGCUUAGCUGAAAAUUAACUGAAUUCUUCUUACUCUAGUUUCUAAUUGUGCCUCAGUUCCUAAACCAGCCCAAAGCUUGGGAAACUGAAAGGAGCUCUGAUAACGUGAACAGAAUGCUUAGGGCAGAACAAACCCAAGAAAUUAAGUUAAACUUGCCAACUGAAGUAAGCCUCUGAGAUUUAUCAAACAUGAGAGGUGGAGAAAACUCUGGAGCCAGCACAUGAACCUGCUAAUAUCUUCUGCAAAAUCUUCCAGCCACAAGGAGCUCCUCAGACCUGGGCUGUUGUCUCCCAAGUACAUGGGCAUUGUGAGAAAAACACAACGGCAUAUUCGACUCUAAUGAGGGAAAAAGACAUAUCUGAGUAAAUGUGGUUUGUCCAGGAGAUGAGGAGAGCCUCCAACAAGCUGUUCUGCUGUACUAACGAGCAUACAUGGCUAUAAAGUCCCAACAUCCGAAGAGUGAUAGGAAAUCAUUUGGUGACAUCCGUGCAAGAACUCUCACCCCACCAGUGCCAGAGAAGAUGUCACUUUUCAGAAGAACGGUAGCUGCCAGCGGGAGGCUCAGCAAUGCAGAUUUUAAUGUGGAGAUUUAAUUUCAAAUACAAUUCACAGUUUGUAUGCGGUUGAAAAAUGUUUAUUACCACCUGGAUGUUCAGGACACUGUUUUGGAUUAAAUAAAUUUCAAUUUGGACAAUG